UACGGGGGGGGCAAGCGUUGUUCGGAAUUACUGGACGUAAAGGGCGCGUAGGCGGCCUGCUAAGUCGGAUGUGAAAUCCCUCGGCUCAACCGAGGAACUGCAUCCGAUACUGGCGGGCUUGAAUCCGGGAGAGGGAUGUGGAAUUCCAGGUGUAGCGGUGAAAUGCGUAGAUAUCCGGAGGAACACCAGUGGCGAAGGCGGCUUCCUGGACCAACACUGACACUGAGGCGCGAAAGCGUGGGGAGCAAACAGG
Molecule: ribosomal RNA, 253 nt
Filed under: uncultured bacterium
Lineage: Bacteria
Description: partial 16S ribosomal RNA
Rfam family: Bacterial small subunit ribosomal RNA
Source: RNAcentral